RNAcentral lists this ribosomal RNA (429 nucleotides) under uncultured bacterium. RNAcentral describes it as "bacterial SSU rRNA". It matches the Rfam family "Bacterial small subunit ribosomal RNA", at positions 37 to 473 of the family's 1533-position model. The record is from RNAcentral.
AACGCGGUGGCAGGCUUAACACAUGCAAGUCAAGCGGGGGAAGGUAGCUUGCUACCGGACCUAGCGGCGGAAGGGUGAGUAACGCUUAGGAAUCGCCUCUUAGUGGGGGACAACAUCUCGAAAGGGAUGCUAAUACCGCUACGUCCUACGGGAGAAAGCAGGGGAUGUUCGGACCAUGCGAUAACAGAUGAGCCUAAGUGGGAUUAGCUAGUUGGUGGGGUAAAGGCCUACCAAGGCGACGAUCUGUAGCGGGUCUGAGAGGAUGAUCCGCCACACUGGGACUGAGACACGGCCCAGACUCCUACGGGAGGCAGCAGUGGGGAAUAUUGGACAAUGGGGGGAACCCUGAUCCAGCCAUGCCGCGUGUGUGAAGAAGGCCUUAUGGUUGUAAAGCACUUUAAGCGAGGAGGAGGCUACUCUAGUUAAUAC